AGUGAACGCUGGCGGUAGGCCUAACACAUGCAAGUCGAACGGCAGCACAGUAAGGGCUUGCUCUUACGGGUGGCGAGUGGCGGACGGGUGAGGAAUACAUCGGAAUCUACUUUUUCGUGGGGGAUAACGUAGGGAAACUUACGCUAAUACCGCAUACGACCUACGGGUGAAAGCAGGGGAUCUUCGGACCUUGCGCGAUUGAAUGGGCCGAUGUCGGAUUAGCUAGUUGGCGGGGUAAAGGCCCACCAAGGCGACGAUCCGUAGCUGGUCUGAGAGGACGAUCAGCCACACUGGAACUGAGACACGGUCCAGACUCCUACGGGAGGCAGCAGUGGGGAAUAUUGGACAAUGGGCGCAAGCCUGAUCCAGCCAUACCGCGUGGGUGAAGAAGGCCUUCGGGUUGUAAAGCCCUUUUGUUGGGAAAGAAAAGCAGCAGGUUAAUACCCCGCCGUUCUGACGGUACCCAAAGAAUAAGCACCGGCUAACUUCGUG
RNAcentral lists this ribosomal RNA (492 nucleotides) under uncultured bacterium. RNAcentral describes it as "partial 16S ribosomal RNA". It matches the Rfam family "Bacterial small subunit ribosomal RNA", at positions 29 to 507 of the family's 1533-position model. The record is from RNAcentral.